RNAcentral lists this ribosomal RNA (335 nucleotides) under uncultured bacterium. Its description in RNAcentral is "bacterial SSU rRNA". It matches the Rfam family "Bacterial small subunit ribosomal RNA", at positions 1054 to 1390 of the family's 1533-position model. The record is from RNAcentral.
GUCAGCUCGUGUCGUGAGAUGUUGGGUUAAGUCCCGCAACGAGCGCAACCCUUAUUAUCAGUUGCCAGCAUUAAGNUGGGCACUCUGGUGAGACUGCCGGUGACAAACCGGAGGAAGGUGGGGAUGACGUCAAAUCAUCAUGCCCCUUAUGACCUGGGCUACACACGUGCUACAAUGGAUGGUACAACGAGUUGCGAACUCGCGAGAGUAAGCUAAUCUCUUAAAGCCAUUCUCAGUUCGGAUUGUAGGCUGCAACUCGCCUACAUGAAGUCGGAAUCGCUAGUAAUCGCGGAUCAGCAUGCCGCGGUGAAUACGUUCCCGGGUCUUGUACACAC